Molecule: ribosomal RNA, 497 nt
Filed under: uncultured bacterium
Lineage: Bacteria
Description: partial 16S ribosomal RNA
Rfam family: Bacterial small subunit ribosomal RNA
Source: RNAcentral
GAUGAACGCUGGCGGCGUGCCUAGUACAUGCAAGUCGAGCGAACGGACGAGAAGCUUGCUUCUCUGAUGUUAGCGGCGGACGGGUGAGUAACACGUGGAUAACCUACCUAUAAGACUGGGAUAACUUCGGGAAACCGGAGCUAAUACCGGAUAAUAUUUUGAACCGCAUGGUUCAAAAGUGAAAGACGGUCUUGCUGUCACUUAUAGAUGGAUCCGCGCUGCAUUAGCUAGUUGGUAAGGUAACGGCUUACCAAGGCAACGAUGCAUAGCCGACCUGAGAGGGUGAUCGGCCACACUGGAACUGAGACACGGUCCAGACUCCUACGGGAGGCAGCAGUAGGGAAUCUUCCGCAAUGGGCGAAAGCCUGACGGAGCAACGCCGCGUGAGUGAUGAAGGUCUUCGGAUCGUAAAACUCUGUUAUUAGGGAAGAACAGAUGUGUAAGUAACUGUGCACAUCUUGACGGUACCUAAUCAGAAAGCCACGGCUAACUACGUG